Molecule: ribosomal RNA, 460 nt
Filed under: uncultured bacterium
Lineage: Bacteria
Description: partial 16S ribosomal RNA
Rfam family: Bacterial small subunit ribosomal RNA
Source: RNAcentral
GCUACGGGAGGCAGCAGUGAGGAAUAUUGGUCAAUGGACGCAAGUCUGAACCAGCCAUGCCGCGUGCAGGAAGACGGCUCUAUGAGUUGUAAACUGCUUUUGUACGAGGGUAAACGCAGAUACGCGUAUCUGUCUGAAAGGAUCGUACGAAUAAGGAUCGGCUAACUCCGUGCCAGAAGCAGCGGUAAUACGGAGGAUUCAAGCGUUAUCCGUCUUUAUUGGGUUGAAAGGGUGCGUAGGCGGUCGGAGAAGUUAGAGGUGAAAUCCCGAGGCUCAACUUCGGAAUUGCCUCUGAUACUGGUCGGCUAGAGAGUAGUUGCGGUAGGCGUCAUGUCUGGUGUAGCGGUGAAAUGCUUAGAGAUCAUACAGAACACCGAUUGCGAAGGCAGCUUACCACGCUACUUCUGACGUUGAGGCACGAAAGCGUGGGGAGCAAACAGGAUUAGAUACCCUUGUAGUC